GAUUAAGUUAUUAAGGGCGCACGGUGGAUGCCUUGGCACUAGAAGCCGAUGAAGGACGUUACUAACGACGAUAUGCUUUGGGGAGCUGUAAGUAAGCUUUGAUCCAGAGAUUUCCGAAUGGGGAAACCCAGCAUGAGUUAUGUCAUGUUAUCGAUAUGUGAAUACAUAGCAUAUCAGAAGGCACACCCGGAGAACUGAAACAUCUUAGUACCCGGAGGAAGAGAAAGAAAAUUCGAUUCCCUUAGUAGCGGCGAGCGAAACGGGAGAGCCCAAACCAACAAGCUUGCUUGUUGGGGUUGUAGGACACUCUAUACGGAGUUACAAAGGACGACAUUAGACGAAUCAUCUGGAAAGAUGAAUCAAAGAAGGUAAUAAUCCUGUAGUCGAAAAUGUUGUCUCUCUUGAGUGGAUCCUGAGUAUGACGGAGCACGUGAAAUUCCGUCGGAAUCUGGGAGGACCAUCUCCUAAGGCUAAAUACUCUCUAGUGACCGAUAGUGAACCAGUACCGUGAGGGAAAGGUGAAAAGCACCCCGGAAGGGGAGUGAAAUAGAACCUGAAACCGUGUGCUUACAAGUAGUCAGAGCCCGUUAAUGGGUGAUGGCGUGCCUUUGUAGAAUGAACCGGCGAGUUACGAUUUGAUGCAAGGUUAAGCAGUAAAUGUGGAGCCGUAGCGAAAGCGAGUCUGAAUAGGGCGUUUAGUAUUUGGUCGUAGACCCGAAACCAGGUGAUCUACCCUUGGUCAGGUUGAAGUUCAGGUAACACUGAAUGGAGGACCGAACCGACUUACGUUGAAAAGUGAGCGGAUGAACUGAGGGUAGCGGAGAAAUUCCAAUCGAACCUGGAGAUAGCUGGUUCUCUCCGAAAUAGCUUUAGGGCUAGCCUCAAGUGAUGAUUAUUGGAGGUAGAGCACUGUUUGGACGAGGGGCCCCUCUCGGGUUACCGAAUUCAGACAAACUCCGAAUGCCAAUUAAUUUAACUUGGGAGUCAGAACAUGGGUGAUAAGGUCCAUGUUCGAAAGGGAAACAGCCCAGACCACCAGCUAAGGUCCCAAAAUAUAUGUUAAGUGGAAAAGGAUGUGGCGUUGCCCAGACAACUAGGAUGUUGGCUUAGAAGCAGCCAUCAUUUAAAGAGUGCGUAAUAGCUCACUAGUCGAGUGACACUGCGCCGAAAAUGUACCGGGGCUAAACAUAUUACCGAAGCUGUGGAUUGUCCUUUGGACAAUGGUAGGAGAGCGUUCUAAGGGCGUUGAAGCAUGAUCGUAAGGACAUGUGGAGCGCUUAGAAGUGAGAAUGCCGGUGUGAGUAGCGAAAGACGGGUGAGAAUCCCGUCCACCGAUUGACUAAGGUUUCCAGAGGAAGGCUCGUCCGCUCUGGGUUAGUCGGGUCCUAAGCUGAGGCCGACAGGCGUAGGCGAUGGAUAACAGGUUGAUAUUCCUGUACCACCUAUAAUCGUUUUAAUCGAUGGGGGGACGCAGUAGGAUAGGCGAAGCGUGCGAUUGGAUUGCACGUCUAAGCAGUAAGGCUGAGUAUUAGGCAAAUCCGGUACUCGUUAAGGCUGAGCUGUGAUGGGAGAAGACAUUGUGUCUUCGAGUCGUUGAUUUCACACUGCCGAGAAAAGCCUCUAGAUAGAAAAUAGGUGCCCGUACCGCAAACCGACACAGGUAGUCAAGAUGAGAAUUCUAAGGUGAGCGAGCGAACUCUCGUUAAGGAACUCGGCAAAAUGACCCCGUAACUUCGGGAGAAGGGGUGCUCUUUAGGGUUAACGCCCAGAAGAGCCGCAGUGAAUAGGCCCAAGCGACUGUUUAUCAAAAACACAGGUCUCUGCUAAACCGUAAGGUGAUGUAUAGGGGCUGACGCCUGCCCGGUGCUGGAAGGUUAAGAGGAGUGGUUAGCUUCUGCGAAGCUACGAAUCGAAGCCCCAGUAAACGGCGGCCGUAACUAUAACGGUCCUAAGGUAGCGAAAUUCCUUGUCGGGUAAGUUCCGACCCGCACGAAAGGCGUAACGAUUUGGGCACUGUCUCAACGAGAGACUCGGUGAAAUCAUAGUACCUGUGAAGAUGCAGGUUACCCGCGACAGGACGGAAAGACCCCGUGGAGCUUUACUGUAGCCUGAUAUUGAAAUUCGGCACAGCUUGUACAGGAUAGGUAGGAGCCUUUGAAACGUGAGCGCUAGCUUACGUGGAGGCGCUGGUGGGAUACUACCCUAGCUGUGUUGGCUUUCUAACCCGCACCACUUAUCGUGGUGGGAGACAGUGUCAGGCGGGCAGUUUGACUGGGGCGGUCGCCUCCUAAAAGGUAACGGAGGCGCUCAAAGGUUCCCUCAGAAUGGUUGGAAAUCAUUCAUAGAGUGUAAAGGCAUAAGGGAGCUUGACUGCGAGACCUACAAGUCGAGCAGGGUCGAAAGACGGACUUAGUGAUCCGGUGGUUCCGCAUGGAAGGGCCAUCGCUCAACGGAUAAAAGCUACCCCGGGGAUAACAGGCUUAUCUCCCCCAAGAGUUCACAUCGACGGGGAGGUUUGGCACCUCGAUGUCGGCUCAUCGCAUCCUGGGGCUGUAGUCGGUCCCAAGGGUUGGGCUGUUCGCCCAUUAAAGCGGUACGCGAGCUGGGUUCAGAACGUCGUGAGACAGUUCGGUCCCUAUCCGUCGUGGGCGUAGGAAAUUUGAGAGGAGCUGUCCUUAGUACGAGAGGACCGGGAUGGACAUACCUCUGGUGUACCAGUUGUCGUGCCAACGGCAUAGCUGGGUAGCUAUGUGUGGACGGGAUAAGUGCUGAAAGCAUCUAAGCAUGAAGCCCCCCUCAAGAUGAGAUUUCCCAACUUCGGUUAUAAGAUCCCUCAAAGAUGAUGAGGUUAAUAGGUUCGAGGUGGAAGCAUGGUGACAUGUGGAGCUGACGAAUACUAAUCGAUCGAAGACUUAAUCAA
Molecule: ribosomal RNA, 2920 nt
Filed under: Staphylococcus sp. MZ9
Lineage: Bacteria; Bacillati; Bacillota; Bacilli; Caryophanales; Staphylococcaceae
Description: 23S ribosomal RNA
Rfam family: Bacterial large subunit ribosomal RNA
Source: RNAcentral